GGAUUUCGCCUCCCUAGACCAGGAGGGAUUGGACCCUGACUACAGGUCCAGGUGCUCGUCAGUGCCCUGCCAGGGGGUCUACGCGUCCUGGUACCGGGUCCAGCGGGGUGGCGUGCUGUGCAGACCCCGAGGCUAGACGGCCUAGGCCCCUGGAGCCCAGGAGACGCUUCCUUGGGGGGAACUUGCGGCUUGGGAGGGGACACCCACUGCAUGGCUUCUGGAAAGAGCCGGACUCGCAGGGCCAGGACGCAGGCCGGACCCCGGCCUCAUUCUUCGGCCAGUUAUCCCGGAGUGGCGCGCAUCCUGUCUUCCUGGGCCUCGGACUGCUCGCGCGCAGAGGGGGCCCGAGGACACCUCUGUGGGGUUAGAGGACUCGGUAAGACGGUGUGGAAGGCAAGGAGGAAGGUCGCGUUGUAUUGGGGAUGGGGUACCCGUCCCUCCCAGCUUGAGGGAUCCUGGGGGUCCUCGCCGCCUCUGAGGGCCUAGAUGGCUGCUUCCCUCGGCUCCCCUGCCCGGCCUGGAGCUACGGGUGCGCCCAGCUAGAGUUUAGGGCCACCUGGGGACGUGCAAGGGGCGCUGGAGCGAGGCGGGGGCUGGGGCGGGGCGUGGGUGCUUCACCCGCGGGGGACGCAGAGCUUAGGCGAAAGCGGUGCAGGCAUCUCUCUAAUCGCCGGCCGCUAUUAAAAAUAAAACCGCGACCCGUCGCCAUGGCGACCACAACAACAGCGGCCGCGCGAGGGAGGCGAAAACUUGUGCAGCCGCGCGACAGCCGCCUUCUGGGGAGACUCGGGGCACGACGCACCCGGCGUGGGACUGGGACCCCCCUGCCCGGCCCCGCCACAUUCUCCGCCGGAUCCCCGGAAGACACAAGGAGACGUGGACCCCCACAGGCUUUUUUGGGGGGAUUGGGCGUUGAAACCGCAGGGCUGACUUAACCAAGAGGUCACCGACUUGGAUAAAAAACCCACGCCCGCGCGGACCCCCCUCCCCGGCCUUCGUUUCCAUUCAAACUCCCAGCGUCCUCAUUGCAGCCCCUGGGGAGGGGGACGGAGGGACGAGGUGGGUUUCAGGUGCUCGGCCCAGGAGGGGACGGUGCGACCCGGGCCCCGCCGGCGGGUUUUGCGCGCGGAGGCUGCGGCACCUGCCCCGCCCGCCCUGCCGCGAUCCUUGCAGACGGGGGCGGUCACAUGCUUCUUUCUGGCCAGGAAUCGAGUUUCACUUCCAGCCGCUAUUAGUCGGUUCACACAGUUCACUGCAAACAUUUGAUAAUGAGGCUAAAUAUACUCCCGCGUCGGAGGAGGCGUGGGCGUCCCCGCCCAGGCCCGGGAGACAGAGGCGCUGACCCCGGGACAGAGCCUGGCUUUGUGCGGGAGGCAGACGCGCCCCGCGCGCCGCCCCCGAAACAUUCGCACCCCAUGCUGAGGCGCGCGUCUGGGAGUCCGUGGGCGCCCCGAGGUGAGCCCGGGGCCCCUGGCGGAAGCAGCGGGGAGCUCCCGGCGGGUGCGGGGAGGUGCUGGUGGGAAGCAAGGUGCACCUGGCGGCCUGGGAUGUCCGGUCGCCCCCGGAGCCGGUGCAUCCGGCCUCUCCCGGCGCGCCCCGACGUGCCCGCGGGCUCAUAAUUACCGUGAGUCAGGUGCCCCAAAUAGGCCGAGCGAGGGGGGCCGUCGCGCAGCAGGGGCGGGUGGCCGGACGUCUGCCCGGGACUGGUUGCCUCCCGCCCCUCCCCAAGACCCUGGCACCCAGGGAGGGCGGGAAAGGCCUUGGCCAUUCCUCUGGGUAGGGGACUGGAGAGGGGAAGAAACUUUCGCCGAGUCCAGCGCUGCCCCCUCAUACCCAUCCCCACCCAGGCUGCGUGUCCGGGGCCCCUCCGGGGCUUGGCACCAGCAGGCACGCAGCGAUCGCCGUCGUUGUUAUUUAGUAGUAGUAGUAACGGCUGACAUUUACAGCGACGUCGAUGGCGCCAGGUGCCAAGCUCUUUCCUUGUAUAAUUUCAUGGACACUCACGCAUCAACUCUAAGCGAAGACUUGGAGCGGGGCUCAGCACCCCAGGGGUACCUCUGCAACCUCGGUAAAUAUAGACUAUCCUCAAUUCGCAGGGGCAUUUGUACGUGGGGUGUACAGGCAGGAACAGGAAAGACGCUGUGGCCACCCAGGAGUAGGGGCGGCAGCCAACACCCCCUGGAUCCCCAGUUCCAAGGUGCAGGGAGGGGGGCAGAGGCCAGUUCCCUCCGCUCUCUGCCCCUUGACCUUGGCCUUGGUGAGCUCUGUCCCUAGACUGCCCUGGGUGUCUGUUCCCUCAUCUGAAAAGCGUGAGGCCCACAGCCGUCACUGCACACAGCUGCCGUCACUGCACACAGCUGCCUCCACUGUCGGGAAGCCUCCCUCCUGCCCACCUGCCCAGGAAAAGCUGCGCUAGCGUGCCCUGGGCAAGCGCCCUGCUGGCCACCUGCCUGCACCUGGGUUGGGGGUGGGGGGACCAGCUGAGCACCCAAAUCCUGGCCUCUGCCCCCAGCGCCAGAGCAGAUUUCAGAACAAUUUGUAAUGACGAAACCCCACGUUUCCCUUUAUCUCUGGGCAAGGCUUUCUUCGUCCUAGGCAAUUAAUCCAAAAGCAACACCAGCCGAGUGGGCUGGACUCCUUGAAGAUCAAAACUGCCCAGCGCAGGCAUUAAUUAAGUCAUUAUCUCAGGCCCCCAGCGACUAGGGAUCAGGCCUUUCCAGUUCACACUCUCCAGAAAGGGAGAUAACUGCCCCGCCAGCAGGGUGGGAAGGCUCUCUCUCCAUGUUGUUUUAACUCCCUAUUAAAUCAUUUUAUUUUAAAUACACAAACAGAAAUGAAGUUGAAAAUAGCACAGGAGCCCACUAUCACUGUGUGAACAUUUUGUGAAUGAAGACAUGUAUGAAAGGAUGUUUGGAGGCUUCAAGAAACGAAAGCCGAGAGUCUAGCUAGACCAGAGCCAUCCAGCCCAGGAGCGAUGGCCACGUGUGGCCGCUGGACACGAGAGACGUGGCCAGUCCAAACUGUGCAGUGCGGUAAGGGCAGAACACAUGCCAGCUUUCGAAGGCUUAGUAAAGAAUGCAAAAUUUCUCAAUUGGGAAUUUUUGUAUGAAUUUCAGGUUGAAAAAAACAUUUUGGAUAUAUGGUGUUAAAUAAACAUGAUUACAAUGACUUUCGCUGUCAGCCUCCCGGAGGCUCAUUUUGCUCCUCUGGGCCACAGCCAGCUCAGAGGGUUGCUCUAGGAAAUAUCUACACGUUCUUGAAGCACAGGUUUAUGUGCCAGGCACUGUACUAAGUGCUGGGGACACGGCGUUAAGACCAGGCCCUCACGGAGCCCUCACUCUCUGAGGAGGAACAAUAAGUCAGAGAGCGCGCGAGUGCAGCCCUUCAGGCAAAGGAUUUCAGGCCCAGGUCAGGAAGGCCUUGUCUGAGGAGUCUGAGAAGAAGUCAAUUGACAACAGCUAGAACAUCUAGGUCAGGCACUCCAGGCCGACACGACAAAGCAGGUGCAAAGGCCCCAGGGCGGGAACCAGCGUGGCUUGUUCACAGAACAAGGAGGUAGAUCGCUUGCCCUUGGGACCAAAGGAAGGCUCUGGAUUUUAUUCUAGGGGCAGUGGAAGCCGUUGGAGGGCCUCAGGCAGGAACACAAGGUGUCGUGGCAGAAAGGAAGAAGGGGCCGGGCACGGUGGCCCACACCCGUCAUCCCAGCACUUUGGGAGGGAGGCCAAGGCAGGAGGAUCGCUUCAAUCCAGGAGUUCAAGAUCAGCCUGGGCAACACAGCAAGACCCCGUCUCUACUAAAACCCUAAAACUUAGCCAGGCUUGGUGGCAUGUGCCUAAGGUCCCAGGUCCUCGGGAGACUAAGGCAGGAGGAUUGCUUAAGCCCAAGAGUUUGAGGCUGCAGUGAACUAUUAUCACACCACUGCACUCAGCCUGGGUGACAGAGUGACUCUGUCUCAAAACUAAAUAAAUAAACAAUAAUUGUGUUAUUCUGUCUCCAUUUCUCGCAUACUGAAUUUAAGGUGGACUCAGCCAGCGGGUUCAGGCCCAGGGUCUGUCCUGCAGCUACAGUCAGGGUUGGUGGCUGCAGCUGUCAUGGGGGAGCGGUGAGGUUGGGGGAACAGGGGGGCUGGCCUGCAUCCCCCACUUUCAGGUGGGCUCAACUCCGUCUCGUGGCCUAUUGGGGGCCAGCAUGGGCUUCCUUACAGCAUGGAGGCCUCCAGGGUCAAGCUGCCUCUGGGAUGGCAGAGGGCUUUGUGUUCGUGCUCCCACGCCCACAGUGGAGGCAAUACACCCUUUCCAGAUCUAGCAGUACAGGUGCGCAGCACCACACCUCUGUACGCUCUCAGCCUAAGCUGUCCCCAGCCCUCCUGGCCUCUGGAGGAGGGGACGCAGAAACUCCAUCCCGGACAGAGGGAGAGCCAGUGUGUGCACAGGCAGCUUCUAACACUGCUUCGUGGUUUCACACGGCUCCCUCAUGGAGAAGGGGCUGGAGGAGGACAGGGAGGUGUGCAGUCAUCUGGGUGACAUAUGAGGGUGGCUGGGCUUCCAGAUGGCUGCAGUGGAGACCGUAAGAAGAGUGCACGAGGUAAGGCUUCCGAAACGCCCAGCAGGUUCCUGGCAGCUGCAGACAACUCAAUUCUUAGCACUUGCCAAUAGCUGGGGUGUAAACACUCCCGCCGUCGCUAUUUCGGGCUAUGCUCCUUGCCUCCACUGGGUCUGGCUCUUAAAACAGCAAGAAAGCAACUCGGAAGCUGAGUCAGCCCCGUCUCUCCACCGUGCCCACAGAUCCUUCCCUGUUCCAGAGCUCCCGUUGGCAGCCAGCUGGGCUUCUCAGGGGGCAUCUCCAGUCCUGUGCAGUCAGAGAAAACCAGGGAAGCAUCUUGAUCUCACCUAGAAAUUAAGGCCAUCACAUCCAACACCUGCAUUUUACAGGUGAGGAGGCUGACAUUACAAGUAGUGGUGGUGGUGACAUUUGAACCCAGACCCCUGUCCUCCGGGGCCUGUUUCCCUGGGAGCUGCGGACUCUGCGUGGAGACACAGAAAUAGAGACCCAGAUGGCUCCCGUAGAAACAGAGUCACCCCCCAGGGCAGCUGGAAGGGAGUGGGAGAGGACAGGUCCUCAAGGGCCUCUGCUCUCCACUUCCCUCCCCGCCUCGCCGUGUCCUCUCCCUUCCUCUCUCCAACCCCUGCAGGGGGAGGCCUGGCUGGGAAGAGACGUUUUCUGAGUAGAUGUUUUGGCUGGGCAGACUGAGCUUUGAGAAGCAGCCAGGCCGAGCGGGGCUAGGGAGUGAGGGCAUUGGGGAGCCUGAACUUUAGUGACCACUGCCCCUCCCAGGCCAAAGCCGCAAACCCCUCCCAUCCCCAAGGGCUUCAGACUCAAGGCCCAAGUUCCUGCA
Molecule: long non-coding RNA, 5395 nt
Filed under: Homo sapiens (human)
Lineage: Eukaryota; Metazoa; Chordata; Mammalia; Primates; Hominidae
Description: HSALNT0338857
Source: RNAcentral